CGACCGGCGCACGGUGAGUAACGCGUAUCCAACCUGCCCACCACUUGGGAUAACCUUGCGAAAGUAAGACUAAUACCCAAUGAUAUCUCUAGAAAGACAUCUGAAAGAGAUUAAAGAUUUAUCGGUGAUGGAUGGGGAUGCGUCUGAUUAGCUUGUUGGCGGGGUAACGGCCCACCAAGGCAACGAUCAGUAGGGGUUCUGAGAGGAAGGUCCCCCACAUUGGAACUGAGACACGGUCCAA
This 241-nucleotide ribosomal RNA is filed under the name uncultured bacterium. RNAcentral describes it as "partial 16S ribosomal RNA". It matches the Rfam family "Bacterial small subunit ribosomal RNA", at positions 92 to 334 of the family's 1533-position model. The record is from RNAcentral.